GAUGAACGCUGGCGGCGUGCCUAAUACAUGCAAGUCGAGCGAACGGACGAGAAGCUUGCUUCUCUGACGUUAGCGGCGGACGGGUGAGUAACACGUGGAUAACCUACCUAUAAGACUGGGAUAACUUCGGGAAACCGGAGCUAAUACCGGCUAAUAUUUUGAACCGCAUGGUUCAAAAGUGAAAGACGGUCUUGCUGUCACUUAUAGAUGGAUCCGCGCUGCAUUAGCUAGUUGGUAAGGUAACGGCUUACCAAGGCAACGAUGCAUAGCCGACCUGAGAGGGUGAUCGGCCACACUGGAGCUGAGACACGGUCCAGACUCCUACGGGAGGCAGCAGUAGGGAAUCUUCCGCAAUGGGCGAAAGCCUGACGGAGCAACGCCGCGUGAGUGAUGAAGGUCUUCGGAUCGUAAAACUCUGUUAUUAGGGAAGAACAUAUGUGUAAGUAACUGUGCACAUCUUGACGGUACCUAAUCAGAAAGCCACGGCUAACUACGUG
RNAcentral lists this ribosomal RNA (497 nucleotides) under uncultured bacterium. Its description in RNAcentral is "partial 16S ribosomal RNA". It matches the Rfam family "Bacterial small subunit ribosomal RNA", at positions 28 to 507 of the family's 1533-position model. The record is from RNAcentral.